Molecule: transfer RNA, 73 nt
Filed under: Phallus echinovolvatus
Lineage: Eukaryota; Fungi; Basidiomycota; Agaricomycetes; Phallales; Phallaceae
Description: tRNA-Arg
Rfam family: tRNA
About the family: Transfer RNA (tRNA) molecules are approximately 80 nucleotides in length. Their secondary structure includes four short double-helical elements and three loops (D, anti-codon, and T loops).
Source: RNAcentral
ACAUCUUUAGCUGAAUGGUUAUAGCGUUUGCCUUCGAAGCAAUUGAAUAUUGGUUCGAGCCCAAUAAGAUGUU